Molecule: ribosomal RNA, 1475 nt
Filed under: Ferrimicrobium sp. BGR 117
Lineage: Bacteria; Bacillati; Actinomycetota; Acidimicrobiia; Acidimicrobiales; Acidimicrobiaceae
Description: bacterial SSU rRNA
Rfam family: Bacterial small subunit ribosomal RNA
Source: RNAcentral
AUCAUGGCUCAGGACGAACGCUGGCGGCGUGCUUAACACAUGCAAGUCGAACGGGGUAUCAGGGUAGUAAUACCCGAAGUACCUAGUGGCGAACGGGUGCGUAACACGUGAGCAACCUACCCCAGAGCUUGGAAUAACACCGGGAAACCGGUGCUAAUACCGAAUACUCUCAUUCGGCCGCAUGACUGAAUGAGGAAAGAUUUAUCACUCUGGGACGGGCUCGCGGCCUAUCAGCUUGUUGGUGAGGUAACGGCUCACCAAGGCUACGACGGGUAGCUGGUCUGAGAGGACGAUCAGCCACACUGGGACUGAGACACGGCCCAGACUCCUACGGGAGGCAGCAGUGGGGAAUAUUGCGCAAUGGGCGAAAGCCUGAACGCAGCAACGCCGCGUGGAGGAUGAAGGCUUUCGGGUUGUAAACUCCUUUCAGCAGGGACGAAACUGACGGUACCUGCAGAAGAAGCCCCGGCUAACUACGUGCCAGCAGCCGCGGUGAGACGUAGGGGGCAAGCGUUGUCCGGAUUUAUUGGGCGUAAAGAGCUCGUAGGCGGCUUGGCAAGUCGGAUGUGAAAUCUCCAGGCUUAACCUGGAGUCGCCAUCCGAUACUGCUAUGGCUAGAGUCCGGUAGAGGAUCGUGGAAUUCCUGGUGUAGCGGUGAAAUGCGCAGAUAUCAGGAGGAACACCAACGGCGAAGGCAGCGAUCUGGGCCGGUACUGACGCUGAGGAGCGAAAGCGUGGGGAGCGAACAGGAUUAGAUACCCUGGUAGUCCACGCCCUAAACGUUGGGCACUAGGUGUGGGGCCUAUUUCGACGGGUUCCGUGCCGUAGCUAACGCAUUAAGUGCCCCGCCUGGGGAGUACGGUCGCAAGGCUAAAACUCAAAGGAAUUGACGGGGGCCCGCACAAGCGGCGGAGCAUGCGGCUUAAUUCGAUGCAACGCGAAAAACCUCACCUGGGUUUGACAUGUAGGGAAAAGCUGCAGAGAUGCAGUGUCCUUUUAGGKCCCUUCACAGGUGGUGCAUGGCUGUCGUCAGCUCGUGUCGUGAGAUGUUGGGUUAAGUCCCGCAACGAGCGCAACCCUUGCCCUAUGUUGCCAGCGGAUAAUGCCGGGGACUCGUAGGGGACUGCCGGAGUUAAUUCGGAGGAAGGUGGGGACGACGUCAAGUCAUCAUGCCCCUUACAUCCAGGGCUGCACGCAUGCUACAAUGGCCGGUACAAAGGGUCGCCAACCCGCGAGGGGGAGCCAAUCCCAUAAAGCCGGUCUCAGUUCGGAUCGCAGUCUGCAACUCGACUGCGUGAAGUCGGAGUCGCUAGUAAUCCCGAAUCAGCACGUCGGGGUGAAUACGUUCCCGGGCCUUGUACACACCGCCCGUCACACCACGAAAGUCGGCAACACCCGAAGCCGGUGGCCCAACCAGUAAUGGAGGGAGCCGUCGAAGGUGGGGUCGGUGAUUGGGGUGAAGUCGUAACAAGGUA